ACGCAAGACAUACAUCAAGUGUUCCCAAAUCCUUAAAGACUCAAUCCGAUAAGAUAACUUCAAAGGGGAAACUCAGUUCAUUACAAAAGAGUAGAGGGGGGAGAAAACAUCAUAAGAUCCAACUAUAAUAGCAAAGCUCGCGAUACAUCAAGAUUGUAUCACCUCAAGAACACGAGAGAGAGAGAGAGAGAGACAGAUCAAAGACAUAGCUACUGGUACAUACCCUCAGCCCCGAGGGAGAACUACUCCCUCCUUGUCAUGGAGAGCACCAGGAUGAUGAAGAUGGCCACCGGAGAGGGAUUCCCCCUCCGGCAGGGUGCCAGAACAGGUCUAGAUUGGCUUUCGGUGGCUACAGAGUCUUCUGGCGGCGGAACUCCUGAUCUAUUGUGCUCCCGGAUGUUUUUAGGGUAUAUGGAGAUAUAUAGGAGGAAGAAGUACGUCAGGGGGGCCACGAGGGUGGAGGGCGCGCCCUAGGGGGGUGGGCACGCCCCCCUACCUCGUGGCCUCCUUGAAGCUUCCCUUACAUGCACUUCAAGUCUUCUGGGCUUCUUUCCUUCCAAAAAUGAGUUCCGUGAAGUUUCAGGUCAAUUGGACUCCGUUUGAUUUUCCUUUUCUUCGAAACCCUAAAACAAGGUAAAACAGAAACUGGCACUAGGCUCUGGGUUAAUAGGUUAGUCCCAAAAAUGAUAUAAAAGUGUAUAAUAAAGCCCAUAAACAUCCAAAACAGUAGAUAAUAUAGCAUGGAGCAAUCAAAAAUUAUAGAUACAUUGAAGACGUAUCAAAGACCACCACUCAAGUCAAAAAUAUCGUGACCAGCCCGGUACGUGAAGAUUGUCAGCGCAAAAAUUCCUAUUUUGGUUGUGGGAAAAUUGGACAUUAUGCCAGACAGUGCCCCAAGAAUGGCAAGUCGAUGGCUCCAUUCCGUCUGCAAGUCAACUAUCUGGAGCCAUAUCCUGGCCCGAGUGCCAUCCAAGGGCAAAUCCACCAUAUCUCCGCCGAUGAAGUCCAAGAAGACCCGGAAGUCGUUAUUGGUAUGUUCCCUAGUAAUAACAUACCUGCUGAGGGAGUCCUGGGUAAGGGGGUGUCCGGAUAGCCGGACUAUAACCUUUGGCCGGACUCUUGGACUAUGAAGAUACAAGAUUGAAGACUUCGUCACGUGUUCGGAUGGGACUUUCCUCUGCGUGGAAGGCAAGCUUGGCAAUACGGAUAUGUAGAUCUCCUCCCAUUGUAACCGACUCUGUGUAACCUUAGCCCUCUCCGGUGUCUAUAUAAACCAAAGGGUUUUAGUCCAUAGGACGAACAACAAUCAUACCAUAAGCUAGCUUCUAGGGUUUAGCCUCUUUGAUCUCGUGGUAGAUCUACUCUUGUACUACCCAUAUCAUCAAUAUUAAUCAAGUAGGAGUAGGGUUUUACCUCCAUUGAGAGGGCACGAACCUGGGUAAAAACAUUGUGUCCCUUGUCUCCUGUUACCAUCCGCCUAGACACACAGUUCGGGAUCCCCUACCCGAGAUCCGCCGGUUUUGACACCGACAUUGGUGCUUUCAUUGAGAGUUUUGCUGUGUCGUCGCCAUCAGAAAGGAUGCCUCAUCCCAUCUUUAAAGACGACACUGUUGCUAAGGGAGCUUUGGCUGUCGGCCAAACUCUCCGGCUAGGUGGUUUUCUUAUGACCGCCUGUUCGGCCGCUACGCCAAUGAUGACUUCUCGGGUCAUCAAAAGCAAUCUUCACGUCAACUCGGAACUCGCCGAGCAGUUAGAUCCAAUGGAGCUCUCUUCCCUAAACGAGCUCUUGGAUCGCAUCGCCGCCCUGGGAGUCGCUACAGACUACGAUCAGAUUGGGCCUAAACCCGAUCUGAGAGAGAUCAACUCUCCCCAGGUCACCCAUCACGUUGCAGUGGUGGAGGAACAAUGCGGCGACCCUUCAUCUAUCUUAAGGACUAGCUAUGUCCGCAUUCCUGAUCCCUCCAAGCCGGAUACCCGCGGAGGGGAGGAUGUCACUCAAGACCUGAACCUAGAGUCAGGCAGUGGGCUAGAUUCAGUGGAAAACAUCUAA
RNAcentral lists this ribosomal RNA (2050 nucleotides) under Triticum aestivum (bread wheat). Its description in RNAcentral is "partial small subunit ribosomal RNA". The record is from RNAcentral. Lineage: Eukaryota; Viridiplantae; Streptophyta; Magnoliopsida; Poales; Poaceae.